RNAcentral lists this ribosomal RNA (415 nucleotides) under uncultured bacterium. Its description in RNAcentral is "bacterial SSU rRNA". It matches the Rfam family "Bacterial small subunit ribosomal RNA", at positions 355 to 794 of the family's 1533-position model. The record is from RNAcentral.
UGGGGAAUAUUGGACAAUGGGCGCAAGCCUGAUCCAGCCAUGCCGCGUGGAUGAUGAAGGCCCUAGGGUUGUAAAGUCCUUUCGGCGGGGAAGCGGUACCCGCAGAAGAAGCCCCGGCUAACUUCGUGCCAGCAGCCGCGGUAAUACGAAGGGGGCUAGCGUUGCUCGGAAUCACUGGGCGUAAAGCGCACGUAGGCGGCUUCUUAAGUCAGGGGUGAAAUCCUGGAGCUCAACUCCAGAACUGCCUUUGAUACUGAGGAGCUUGAGUUCGGGAGAGGUGAGUGGAACUGCGAGUGUAGAGGUGAAAUUCGUAGAUAUUCGCAAGAACACCAGUGGCGAAGGCGGCUCACUGGCCCGAUACUGACGCUGAGGUGCGAAAGCGUGGGGAGCAAACAGGAUUAGAUACCCUUGUAGU